This is a long non-coding RNA of Rhincodon typus (whale shark), 1660 nucleotides long. RefSeq lists it as uncharacterized. The transcript is spliced from 7 exons. The record is from RefSeq and is a predicted model, not a curated record. NCBI's taxonomy places the organism in Eukaryota, Metazoa, Chordata, Chondrichthyes, Orectolobiformes, Rhincodontidae.
AGAUCCUUUAAAGAAAAGGCCAUGAAUGGUGCUGGGGUCAGGAACAAACUGCAGUUUUAGAAGAAUUCAUGCUGCAUCAGAUGUCAUGAAACAUUCAUCAAUACCACAAACUCUUGUGAUUGCCAAUCAAACAUAUUGACUGGAGGAUUGUGUUUUCGUGCUCAUCCAAAAACCUUGACUACUACAGUUGUUACAAAUAUUAUCUAUAGAGAGAAUUUAAAGAUAUCGUCCGCUUGGUUUGCCAGCAACUUGAAAGCAUCAGCGAUUGCAUGUUUGAGGUUUGCAAAUCUGACAGCUUGCCAGGCUUUGGGAAACAUGUGUGUCAUGAUGAUGAAUUCAAUAAACAUAGCAGCACUACCUAAUGAUGCUUGUGGACUUUUUCAAACAAUAUUUAAAAGUACUGUACACCUUGGAAUUAUCCAUACAGUAUCCUCCUGGUAAGUUGGAAGAACUUGCCAUUGGCUAACAUUGAGUAGUCAGCAUUUUGAUCAUCAGGCGUAGGACUCUGCCCUGGUUGUACUAUGAAGGCCAUACUGACAGUUUAGCACCCAGAACUUUUCAUCAAGAUCCAUUUCCAACAGUAUUUUAUUUCGAGACAUUUCAAGAGGUUCUGCUAUAACACGUGUUCCGACUGCAAAUUGGCUAUAACACAACUGACAAAUAAGGGAAUGCUAUUUCUAAAAUGCGUACUUGUGUUGGCUAUAAUGUAAUUCCAUCGAUUCCAACCUCUGUCCUUCAACCCAUGGACCAGGGUGCAAUAGCAGCUUUUAAAGCUUAUUAUUUAAGGCACACAUUUAAGAGGCUGAUUGCAGCCACUGAGGGGGAUAAGGACAGUGUCCUUCAAUUUUGGAGAAGCUUUAACAUCAAGAAUGCAAUUGACAUUAUCAUGGAGAGCUGGGGUGAAGUCAGUACUGAUUGCAUGCAGUUUGGCAGAAGCUUCUCCCAGAUUUUUUUUCAAGUAUUUAAAACCUUUGAUCCAUCAGAGGAGUGUCUAAGAAUCAGAGAACAUUGUGUUGAUCUUGCAAAACAAGUUAGAUUUGAAGCAGUGGAGAGUGAGGAUGUUGAAGAGCUGCUUGAGUUCCACUGUGAAAACCUCUCUGAACACGUCUCUGAACUACAAAACAACUUGUCCCUGAGGGGGAAGUAGAAGCUGGAGAUGAAGAUGAUGAAGUCCAGGAUGUAGCACCACUUCUGUUUUGUCUUCUAUCCUGAGGUAAAUUGUGAAGCAGUUGCAGCUGUUAGAGAACAACGAUUACAAGGUAGAAUGCAGCGGGGUAGCAGUUCAUGGAAGAAGAUCUUAUUUGGCACUCUAUGAACAGCUUCUUCAUGAAAAAAGAAAAAGGGCAAAGCAGCAAAAAUUGGAUGUCUUUUUUAAGACAACCCCCAAGAAACAGUCAGAAGACAAUGAACCACAGCCAUUCACUUCUGGAUUAACUAUUUUAUACCCUAACCCUGCAACCAUAAUUGACACUGAAGGUGAUGAUGAUGACCCCCUCAGCCCCUGCAUUAACAACAGAGCAACCUUAAAACUUCCUCUCUCAUCAAGUCAUCUUGACAUUUUUUCAAGACAAGAUGUUACAUUUGCUUUUAUUUCGCUGUCGUGCCUGACUGCACUUUUGAAUGGAAUGUCGGUCUUGUUAAAUGGGGUUGUUUGCAUUUA